GAGUAAAGGACAGAGAUAAUUCUCCCAAAGAAUCUGGGUUCUAUUUGCAUCUUCUUAUUUAUUCUUGAUGCUAUGCUUCAAGAUUGAGCGGUUUGUCUCGAAGCUUCUAUUCGUAAAUUUGGCUUAUGCCGAUCGUCCUGUCCAAAUUGGAUAAUUUUGUCUUAAAAGGACCAACGAAUACAUGGUGAAUAAUAGAUUCAAGCAAAGCAAGGAAGCAGUCAAGAUGAUAAGUAAUUUUCAUUGUACCCAGCUUCCUUGCAUGAAAUCAUUGACAACAUCUUUCAACUUUUGGAAUCGGUCGAGAUCUAACAUACAGAACGGAGGAUAAUGAGCUCUUUGAUCAUCCAGCCAGCUCGGUUCUACAUUGGCAAGUCGAUGACAAGGUGACUCAUAAUUAUGUGCAGA
Molecule: long non-coding RNA, 405 nt
Filed under: Elaeis guineensis (African oil palm)
Lineage: Eukaryota; Viridiplantae; Streptophyta; Magnoliopsida; Arecales; Arecaceae
Description: long non-coding RNA (EGUI_LNC005728)
Source: RNAcentral